AGAGUUUGAUCCUGGCUCAGGAUGAACGUUGGUAGUAUGCCUAACACAUGCAAGUCGAGCGAAAAGUGAUAGCAAUAUUACUUUUAGCGGCGAACGGGUGAGUAAUGCUUAUCUUACCUGCCAUUUAAUGGGGGAUAAAAUUCCGCAUAUUAUGAGUAAUCAUGAAAGGACUUUCGGGUUCAUUAAAUGAUGGGGAUAAGUCGUAUUAGUUAGUUGGUGGGGUAAUGGCCUACCAAGACAAUGAUGCGUAGCCAGUCUGAGAGGAUGAAUGGCCACAAAGGAACUGAGACACGGUCCUUACUCCUAUUUAGGAGGCAGCAGUGAGGAAUAUUCCGCAAUGGGGGAAACCCUGACGGAGCAAUACUACGUGAAGGAGGAAGGUCUACGGAUUGUAAACUUCUUUACUUAAAUGUACUAGCCGUAAGGUUUUGCAUUUGAGCAAAAAGCGACGACUAACUAUGUGCCAGCAGUCGCGGUAAGACAUAGGUCGCAAACGUUAUCCGGAAUUAUUGGGCGUAAAGGAUGCGUAGAUUGUUCAGUAAGUUACUGGUGGGAAAUCGAGGCCCAACCUCGUGGAAGUCAGUAAUACUGCUGAACUUGAGUACAGGAGAGGUUAACGGAAUGGUUCGUGUAGGGGUAAAAUCCGCAGAUAUGAACUGGAACAUCAAUAUGGCGAAGGCAGUUAACUAUUCUGUUACUGACGUUGAGGCAUGAAAGCGUGGGGAGCAAAACGGAUUAGAUACCCUAGUAGUCC
RNAcentral lists this ribosomal RNA (754 nucleotides) under uncultured bacterium. Its description in RNAcentral is "bacterial SSU rRNA". It matches the Rfam family "Bacterial small subunit ribosomal RNA", at positions 8 to 796 of the family's 1533-position model. The record is from RNAcentral.